AUGAUUUCCUCGACGGCGACAACACCUUGCACAUUGUCGUCCGCCCUCCCCGGGUCACCACACCUGCACCCCCAUCACCGCGCACCCCACCCUCGUCGCACGCCCCUCCAGCGCCUAUUCAUCGCACGCGCAGCACCUCCGACAUCCAUAAGGUACUCACCGGUUCCUACCUCUGCCCGUCCUGCUCUCAAGGAUCCCAACUGGCUUGAUGCAAUGACCGCGGAAUACCGCACACUCCUCAGCAACAACACUUGGAAUCUUGUGCCACCGCCUCAGAACGCCAAUAUCUUCUCCAGCAAGUGGGUGUUUCGCCACAAGCUCAAGCCCGACGGCUCCCUCGACCGCUACAAAGCACAUUGA
This 360-nucleotide ribosomal RNA is filed under the name Triticum aestivum (bread wheat). Its description in RNAcentral is "partial small subunit ribosomal RNA". Lineage: Eukaryota; Viridiplantae; Streptophyta; Magnoliopsida; Poales; Poaceae. The record is from RNAcentral.